Molecule: ribosomal RNA, 427 nt
Filed under: uncultured Halioglobus sp.
Lineage: Bacteria; Pseudomonadati; Pseudomonadota; Gammaproteobacteria; Cellvibrionales; Halieaceae
Description: bacterial SSU rRNA
Rfam family: Bacterial small subunit ribosomal RNA
Source: RNAcentral
AGUGGGGAAUAUUGCGCAAUGGGGGCAACCCUGACGCAGCCAUGCCGCGUGUGUGAAGAAGGCCUUAGGGUUGUAAAGCACUUUCACUUGGGAAGAAAAGCUGUUGCCUAAUACGUAACAGCCCUGACAUUACCAUGAGAAGAAGCACCGGCUAACUCCGUGCCAGCAGCCGCGGUAAUACGGAGGGUGCGAGCGUUAAUCGGAAUUACUGGGCGUAAAGCGCGCGUAGGCGGUUUGUUAAGUCGGAUGUGAAAGCCCCGGGCUCAACCUGGGAAUUGCACCCGAUACUGGCCGACUAGAGUACGAGAGAGGGAGGUAGAAUUCCACGUGUAGCGGUGAAAUGCGUAGAUAUGUGGAGGAAUACCGGUGGCGAAGGCGGCCUCCUGGCUCGAUACUGACGCUGAGGUGCGAAAGCGUGGGGAGCAAA